RNAcentral lists this small nuclear RNA (106 nucleotides) under Salvator merianae (Argentine black and white tegu). The record is from RNAcentral. Lineage: Eukaryota; Metazoa; Chordata; Lepidosauria; Squamata; Teiidae.
UUGCUCACUUUGGCAGCACGUAUACUAAAAUUGGAACGAUACAGAGGAGAUUAGCAUGGCCCUGUACAAGGAUGACAUGCAAAUUUGUGAAGCAUUCCAUAUAUAU